Molecule: non-coding RNA, 1941 nt
Organism: Amborella trichopoda
Lineage: Eukaryota; Viridiplantae; Streptophyta; Magnoliopsida; Amborellales; Amborellaceae
Source: RefSeq, a predicted model, not a curated record
CUCUCUCAUUUGUAUUCUCUAUCUCUCUCUACUUACUAAAAAAACUCUCAUCCAUAUUCUCUCUUACUUUCCCCCGAAAACUUCUCUCAUCCCGAACUCUCUAUUCAUGGAUUCCAUUGCCCUGGAAAUAGAUGGAAAUGGAGGCUUCAGAUAUUGGUUUUAGGAAAAGGUUCAGAACUUUGUGAACCUAGGUUUUGGUUCUCGAAGGAGAUCUGGUUCUUGAAAACCCCUUUUGGUUUGAUUAGUUGUUUUUGGGAUCUGUGUUUUUGGUUUCAGGGGUAUUUGGUAGCUUUCGACAGUUUUAAAGUCUAAAACUGCAGUUUUGGCGAGGGUGAAAGACAUGGUUUUGGAGAUCAAGUUCAUGAAACUAGGCUCAAAGCCUGAUUUCUUCGAGAUGGCAAUAACACAAGGUUGAAAUUGCACUGCUUUGUAUGAUUGUUGGAGUCAAACUUGUUUUUGUGAAUCCUCCUAAUUGUCAUCAAAGUGUUGAUUUAAUGGCUUGAGUACUUUCAGCUGCCCCCAUUUCUCUGAUUCCUUUUGAUUUUUAACCUUCAAUUUCGAAAUAUAAUACGUCUUUUCUUGUGCUUGUCAUUCACGAACUGCAAAUUAGAAAAGUAGAUUCAUAUCAUAAAUACGCAAAUUUGAUACACAAAAAAAGAAUAUCAUUGUAAUAAAGUCGAUUCAUAUCGUAAAUACACAAAUUUGAAAACCAUUUUAGCAGUUUUAUUGCCCAACAUAAUUUCUGUACCAAUAUAAGAUAGAGAAGACACAAAAAUCCUUUUCUUCACUUUGAUUCAAUUCUCAGAAGGCUCAUACCUCUUGUGUUAAUUUUGCAGUUGUUUUUUUUUUUUUUUUUUGUCAUUUUCAUUUAUGUGUUGUCCUUACUCAUUCCUCGUUGUUGUGUGAUGUGCAUAUUAGGACAAGGUUAUUAGAUCUGGUUGGUGAAGAGGCAAAUGCAGGCAAUGCUCUAGAAAACAUAUGGAGGUUUAUGCUCUCAUUGAAACUUAUGCAUGUUAGGAUAACUAACCUUUCUAUACGUAUUAAUUACUAACUAUAAUUCUCUUUCUCAUACUGGUACAUAUUGCAUUUAUUUGUCUUUUGCCUUACGGAGUAUUGCGCAAUGUAUAGAUGUUGACUUGUCUUGCCCGAUUUGUCAUUAGAGAUUUGAUCCUUUUUUCUUUUUUUGAAGCUAAUUUUUUUUCCCUUUUUGGGGUGGAUAAUAAUAUAUAAUUGAUUUAUUAAAAAAUAUAUUAUCGUUUUUCUUGUACUAGGAAAUGAGACCCUCAAUAUAAAGUGGCUGACUGAGAGAUGUUGUGGGGCUCACCCUAAUUUUUUUUCUUCCCUUUAAAUAGUAAUAGAACAUCAUCGAAUUGUAGCAUAUGCAGCCUACCGAUGCAAAGACCCAAAAACAUUCAUCAAUGCCUUGCCCUAGGCCCUCACUGGGACCCUGAGUUUCUUUGUUACCUGCUAUCAUGUUUAUCUAUAUUAUGAACUUGUGAAUUAUCAACAAGUCAAUUCAAAGAAUUCGAAGUGGGGGUCGAAAUCAAACAAUAUAAAAUUGGAGCUUGAGUUUGACUUGAACUUUAACCACAAAGCUUUAACACAAGCGAAGCCUAGGCACUACCAAGCUUGGCUUCUUACACGUUCAAGGCCUGUGGCGUAAUGUUAUAUAUGUAAGGUGUGGAGUCGAAGUUAAUACAAAUUUUUUACAGGAGGGAAAAAAUGGGUGAUGAUCAGUUGAUUUAUUGCAUUCAUGGUGGAGAAUUCCGACGAACGGGUGAGAUCACACUGGUGGUGAUGCAUCUGCUUAUUUUGUUAAUAGUAAAACUAGGUUAGAUGACAUGCAAAAGUAUUGUGCAUAGCAUUUCUCAAUUGAUGUGCACAAGAUAACAUUUAAGUAUUUUGUCUCGAGGAAUAAGAGAAUUCUUGGGAACUUAUUUA